AAGGAUCUAUGUGCUUUUCCUGGCCAGCUUAGAUUCAUAUUUCUUUGAACUGCAAGUGAAGUGAGGCUUCAUUUGAAUGUUUUAAACCAUUUCGUGCAACCUUGCUGCAGGUUCAAUACUUUUUCUGGUUUCAACAACAAAAAGACAACUGCUCACUGCUCUGAACAAGAACCACACAAGCGGAUCAUCUAACAUAACCUGUUUGAGGGAAGGUAUGUCGUCCUUUGGUUUCUACUUUAGCUAGUUCCCUUACUAUCAAAGGUUGUAUUCAGAAUUUGUAUUACGAAUUCUUGUAGGUAGUACCAACAAAGAGCAGACCAAAUGAUUUCUUCAGGAAAGAGGAAAAGCCCAUUAACUUCAGAAUUCAUUUGUCAAGUCUGUGAACUGGCAGGUAUAUAUGUUCAGGCUUCAGUUUGUAUAGUCACUAUGCUCUACCAACAGUAGAUUCAUGGACUUUGUUAUCUUUGAAAACAUGAAAGAUAUCAAGGUAUUGAAGUGACUACUUAGGAAAAUGGAUAGAUAGAAAAUUACCGAAAGAAUUAUGCCUCUAACUCCUUAUGUGCUUCGUAAGUGCUGUUUCUUUUUAGGGCUUCCAACACAACAGAAUUGCUUCUAAUCUUUUGUGUUAUCUUUUGUCAUGGAAGUAGCUAUGUGCUGCUUCAGUGUGUAGUUCAGUUGUGCAUUAUGGCUUAAAUAAGAAUCUCGAAAAAAAAUUGUAGCACAUUGGCAUCGACAUGUACUGCAUUAUUUUUCCAUGUCAUUCUUCUGAAGAAUCUGAAGUUUCCAAAUCUCUGUUGGUAAUGUUGCAGGCUUGUGGUGGCGACGCUGACGGUCGUCGAGAGGUUCAUGGACUGGAU
RNAcentral lists this long non-coding RNA (857 nucleotides) under Triticum aestivum (bread wheat). Its description in RNAcentral is "long non-coding RNA (TAES_LNC015350)". The record is from RNAcentral. Lineage: Eukaryota; Viridiplantae; Streptophyta; Magnoliopsida; Poales; Poaceae.